This 1011-nucleotide long non-coding RNA is filed under the name Ananas comosus (pineapple). RNAcentral describes it as "long non-coding RNA (ACOM_LNC004156)". The record is from RNAcentral. Lineage: Eukaryota; Viridiplantae; Streptophyta; Magnoliopsida; Poales; Bromeliaceae.
GGAACUCCAUUAUGACUAGGAAAUUCUACAUUAAACGUAAAACAAAUUAAGCAUAAAUAUUCUUAAGUAAAUUGAUGAGGAAGUUUGGGAGAAGCAUCUUCGAUGAGGCCUUUGCAAUUGAAAAUUUUUCUAACGGUAAUAAAGAAUCUCACAUAAUGAUAAUAUGGUAAACAUGUAGAAAUAUAUAUAAUUUAUCUUUCGUACUCUCUCUAAACAAACACCAAACAACAGCUGGGAGAAAUUAUAACCAGGACAGUGUUCGCCCCGUCAUUGAUGAACCAAAAUAAUUAAAACUCAACAGAUAACCUCAAACCACACUAGUUCAUUGGACCAUGUUUAGGGAAGUAGUGGUUUGUAUUUGUCUCUAUCAAAGGGGUGUUUAAAUUUCGGGGAUUAGGGAUUUUUUUUAGCAAUUCUUUUGCAUGUAACACUUUUUCGCUCAUUCCGAUUCCUCCUAAACCUCUCCCCAAAUCUUUAUAUUCUAAUAGAAGAGACCCCACAGACUCCCAUCUCUCUCUCUAUAUAGCUGCUUCCUCUCUCCUUCGUCCUUGCUUCUUCCUCGCACUUUCGGUAUAAGAAACUACACAGAAGAGUCCCUAAGGCCUAAAACUUCUCCAGCCGGGGACUGGAGAAUAGGCAAUGCAAAGGAGAACACAUAACACCCAUUUAAUGAUAUCCCUUAUCAUUAUAUAAUAACUUAAUAAGCAGUAAUAGGCUAGUUUCCUUACAAAUGUACUUAAACAGAUUCAGUCUCUUGUGAAUUCAAUUUGAUAUGAAACGAGGUGAAGCGACCGGGGCCGGGGGUAAGCCUAUCCCCGUCCCGUCCCUGGUAACUCACCGGCGUUAUAUCCCGAAGCGGGGCGAUGUUCUAAAGCGCAUCUUGUCCCGCCUCUUCCUCUUUCCGUCGCGGGGCUGCAUCGCCAGGGGGAAGGUGUGCCCCUCACAUAGUGGUGAUCAAAAGCAGGAAAAAGGGAAGGGCUAAUAAUUGUUGUACCAUUUCCUUGCAGGUUG